AACAUAGAAGUAAAAUUUACAUUUAGUUUCGACCUAAAAUUUAAGGAAAAAUAACCUCAUGUUU
This 64-nucleotide transfer RNA is filed under the name Empoascanara defecta. RNAcentral's name for it is "tRNA-Arg". The record is from RNAcentral. Lineage: Eukaryota; Metazoa; Arthropoda; Insecta; Hemiptera; Cicadellidae. RNAcentral also lists the same sequence under 1 other name.